This 497-nucleotide ribosomal RNA is filed under the name uncultured bacterium. RNAcentral describes it as "partial 16S ribosomal RNA". It matches the Rfam family "Bacterial small subunit ribosomal RNA", at positions 28 to 507 of the family's 1533-position model. The record is from RNAcentral.
GAUGAACGCUGGCGGCGUGCCUAAUACAUGCAAGUCGAGCGAACAGACGAGGAGCUUGCUCCUCUGACGCUAGCGGCGGACGGGUGAGUAACACGUGGAUAACCUACCUAUAAGACUGGGAUAACUUCGGGAAACCGGAGCUAAUACCGGAUAAUAUAUUGAACCGCAUGGUUCAAUAGUGAAAGACGGUUUUGCUGUCACUUAUAGAUGGAUCCGCGCCGCAUUAGCUAGUUGGUAAGGUAACGGCUUACCAAGGCAACGAUGCGUAGCCGACCUGAGAGGGUGAUCGGCCACACUGGAACUGAGACACGGUCCAGACUCCUACGGGAGGCAGCAGUAGGGAAUCUUCCGCAAUGGGCGAAAGCCUGACGGAGCAACGCCGCGUGAGUGAUGAAGGUCUUCGGAUCGUAAAACUCUGUUAUUAGGGAAGAACAAAUGUGUAAGUAGCUAUGCACGUCUUGACGGUACCUAAUCAGAAAGCCACGGCUAACUACGUG